This 468-nucleotide ribosomal RNA is filed under the name uncultured bacterium. RNAcentral's name for it is "partial 16S ribosomal RNA". It matches the Rfam family "Bacterial small subunit ribosomal RNA", at positions 28 to 507 of the family's 1533-position model. The record is from RNAcentral.
GACGAACGCUGGCGGCGUGCUUAACACAUGCAAGUCGAACGGAAAGGCCCUGCUUUUGUGGGGUGCUCGAGUGGCGAACGGGUGAGUAACACGUGAGUAACCUGCCCUUGACUUUGGGAUAACUUCAGGAGACUGGGGCUAAUACCGGAUAGGAGCUCCUGCUGCAUGGUGGGGGUUGGAAAGUUUCGGCGGUUGGGGAUGGACUCGCGGCUUAUCAGCUUGUUGGUGGGGUAGUGGCUUACCAAGGCUUUGACGGGUAGCCGGCCUGAGAGGGUGACCGGCCACAUUGGGACUGAGAUACGGCCCAGACUCCUACGGGAGGCAGCAGUGGGGAAUAUUGCACAAUGGGCGGAAGCUUGAUGCAGCAACGCCGCGUGCGGGAUGACGGCCUUCGGGUUGUAAACCGCUUUCGCCUGUGACGAAGCGUGAGUGACGGUAAUGGGUAAAGAAGCACCGGCUAACUACGUG